GAGAGAGAGAUCCAAAUCCUUUAGAAGUAAAGCCCAUGAAAUCACAAAACUGAAGGAAGAAAGAUAAACUGAUGCUCAAAUUCCUUAAGCACUAAUAUCUUCAAUUCAAGGAAAUUUUACCAUGCAAAGCUUUCCAUACAUUAUUAUGAACUACAAGUUUUUGAAAUAUAAGACAAAAUUGGGGUGUCAAAACAUAAAACACAAGGCAGGAGAAAGUAGUUCAUGCAUCAGGCCAUAA
RNAcentral lists this unclassified non-coding RNA (238 nucleotides) under Hevea brasiliensis (rubber tree). The record is from RNAcentral. Lineage: Eukaryota; Viridiplantae; Streptophyta; Magnoliopsida; Malpighiales; Euphorbiaceae.